This 1053-nucleotide long non-coding RNA is filed under the name Anas platyrhynchos platyrhynchos (common mallard). RNAcentral's name for it is "lncRNA (ENSAPLG00000023407.1)". Lineage: Eukaryota; Metazoa; Chordata; Aves; Anseriformes; Anatidae. The record is from RNAcentral.
GUUUGGUCAUUCUUUUCACCUUUUCUGUCCCUUUUGAAACAGACUGGGGAAGCUUGGCUUAGAGGUGAUCCUUUCUGCUCAGCGUUGGUUGGGCUGCACCUGGAGUGCUGGGUCCUGUUCUGGGCCCCCCAGUACAGGAGAGGCCUGGGCACAUUGGGGAGAGUCCAAAGAAGGGACUCCAAGGUGGUGAAGGGGCUGGAGCAUCUCUGCUGUGAGGCUGGGAGAGCUUGGGCUGCUCAGCCCGGAGAAGAGGAGGCUCAGGGGGAUCUCAUCCGUGUCCCUAAAUCCCUGAAGGGAGGGUGCAGAGAGGCCGGAGCCAGGCUCUGCUCAGUGGUGCCCAGUGCCAGGACAGGAGGCCAUGGGCACAGCCGGGCACCCAGGAGGCUCCCUCUGAGCACCAGGCAGCACUGCUGUGCUGGGCGGGUGACGGAGCCCUGGCACAGGCUGCCCAGAGAGGCUGUGGGGUCUCCUCCUUGGGGAGCUCAAAAAGCCGCCUGGACGUGGGCCUGGGCAGCCUGCUCUGGGUGUCCCUGCUUGGGCAGGGGGGCACCAGGGGCCUCCGGAAAGCUGGGGGUUGGCAUGGGGGGAGGCCAAGGAAUGGGAAUGGAAGUGCCCAGAGGACGCUUUGGCACUAUGACACCUCUUGGCCCAGCUUUCCUGCUGCCCAGAGCACCAAAUAAAGAAAUAAAAUCCCAGCCUUGCUGCUGCUCAGCAUGCACAAAAGAAACCAAGCCAUUUCCAAACGCAACUGAUACUACACCAAUUGAUUUUUUUUUGUUAGCCUUGCGUCCCCUCAGUCCUAGCUACCAAAGGCCAUUUCUUUCUCCCAGCAUCCAAGGUGAAGUGGCAGAGGGCAGCCAGAAGCUUUCACAAAGGAUGUUUUUGGAGAUCACAGGCAGAAGCGAGGGCUGUGCCUCCCCGCUGGCUUGCCGGCCGAGCACGUUCACCUUCAGGGCACGGCGCCAAGCCCACCUGCUUACUCAGGAUUUUGCCAGCAAAGGCAGCUCUCAACGCACUGAUUUGUCCUUCGAAGACGCAUCCUAUUCUGCUUAG